GCCACCGUGGUCUAACGGUUAGAACGCUGGGCUUGUAAUCCUGGGGUCUCGGGUUCGAUUCCCGGCGGUGCCC
Molecule: transfer RNA, 73 nt
Filed under: Zootermopsis nevadensis
Lineage: Eukaryota; Metazoa; Arthropoda; Insecta; Blattodea; Termopsidae
Rfam family: tRNA
About the family: Transfer RNA (tRNA) molecules are approximately 80 nucleotides in length. Their secondary structure includes four short double-helical elements and three loops (D, anti-codon, and T loops).
Source: Rfam by way of RNAcentral